AGCAAACCAACUAUCACGGCCUUCCCCUCCAGUUAGACUGUCAAUGAUAGAGAUAAGAAAACUGCUAAUUAAGCUUCCUACACCGUAGGUGCUGACGUAGAGAGAAAGACCCACGCUCCUUAAUUCUCUAGGGACCUGAUCAUAGAAGAAUUCUUGCAUACCAACCAAGGUCAAUGCGUCAGCAACUCCAGACACAAUGUAUUGAGGAGUCAGCCACCAAAUGCUCAUUGGAACCGUCACAUUUGGCUUAUCAACUAGUCCAAAUUCUCGAGCAACUUCAAGCCUCUUCAUUUCAACUAGUGCAUCAAUGGCUGUGGGCCUAUCUUCUCCUGCACCUGCAGUGCUCUCCUCUUCUCGUUGAUUAAAGGAGUGAAGGGUGGAGCUGCAGUGUGGUACAUUGGCUUUCAAAAAACUCCAGGUCAAGAAAUUACUAAGAACAUGUAACAGAUGACCUUAGCAUUCAGCUCUCAUCCCUAUUAUUAUGUUGUAAAUUUAUGGAUUGCAUCAAUAAUUUCACAAACAAUCAAAGAGUUUCUAUAUAAAUCCCUAAUUCAUUGGUAAUGAACCAUCAAGAAAAAAAAAUCCAACAAUACAUUAUAGAAAAGAGAGUUAUUUUUUCCUUACCUUAAUUGUUCUGUUUCCUAUUUCUUUGUUGUAUUCAGGUCCCGACAGUUUCAAAAGACAAACUCUAACAAGUAAAAUUGGCAUCAAUCAGUAAGCAAAUCAUGGGAAUGGAGUAAGCAAAAAUGCAAGGCUUGCUUGAACUUGCUGCUGGGUUGAGGUGAGGCACCUCCCUCUGGAAACAUUAUUUCCUUCCUGGUGUUGAGGCCUUUUACAUGUUCAUUGUAGGUUGACAAAAGGAUCCAGUGCCAAAACAGAGCUAAUUUGUGAGUGAGAAUGAGAACCCAGGUAAUUAAAUCUAUUUUAGAGCACCCAUGUACCGCAUUUAUUACCACCCGAUCGAAAACAACCUCAGCUCAGUAUGUAGCAUCAAGAGCUAGAGACCCUUCAUUUGAGAAACUAAUGGAGAAAUACAAAAACCUUAUUAAAGUAAUUGCCAUUCAAGACCUCAUUCUCGCAAACCCCACCAAUAGUCCAUCAGUUUCCCUUGAUUUCCUUUCUAGACUUUCCCAGAAGCUUCACCUCAACCGUGGUGCAGCCUCUUUCCUUCGUAGAUACCCUCACAUUUUCCACAUAUUCCACAAUCCCACCUUGUCUCAAUCUUUUUGCAAAUUAACUGAUGCUGCUCUCGAAAUUUCUCACCAAGAAGCAGAGGCUGUUAAUGCUUCCUUGCCUGUUGUUGUCAAUAGGUUGGUACGGCUGUUAUCAAUGUCCACAUCCAAGUCUUUGCCACUUCGUGCUAUCUUUAAGGUUUGGAGGGAGCUGGGGCUUCCUGAUGAUUUUGAAGACUCAGUGAUAUCCAGAAACCCACAACUUUUUAGAUUGUAUGAUGCCCCUGAACCCAAUACACAUGUCCUGAAACUGGUUGAUGAAAUUCCUAACAACCAUUUCACAGCAGCAGUUGAAAAUUGGAGAGUGACCGAGUGUUGUAAGGAUGAUUGCAGUGUUGAUCGAACAGAAAUGCAAUUUAGUUUCAAACAUCAGUACCCUCCUGGAAUGUGGUUGAGCAAGAGUUUCAGGGCUAAGGUCAAGGAAUGGCAGAGAUUGCCAUAUGUAGGACCCUAUGAGGAGUUGGGAGAAAAGAAGAGGUCUAAGGCAGGACUGAUGGGAUUGGAGAAACGGUCAGUUGCGAUUGUACAUGAAUUUUUGAGUUUGACAGUGGAAAAGAUGGUGGAAGUGGAGAAGAUUAGCCAUUUUCGGAAAUGUUUUGGGAUUGAUUUGAACAUAAGGGAUUUGUUCUUGGAUCAUCCAGGCAUAUUUUAUUUGUCUACCAAAGGAAAGAGACAUACUGUCUUCCUUAGGGAAGCAUAUGAGAGGGGUCGCUUGAUUGAUCCGGAUCCUGUAUAUGAUGUCAGGAGAAAGUUACUUGAUAUAGUUAUUCUGGGUCGCUGCAGAUCGCUUGCUGCCAAACUAAAGCCUGGUGAGAUUGGAAGGGUUGAGGAAUAUGGGUUACAAGAUGAGAAUAAUGACUGAAGGUCAUGAAUUUUCUUAUGUAGUACCACUAGUUGCUAGCUUUGUUUAUCUGCAUGGAUAUGCACAUUUGGGGGAUUAAUCUGUUAAAUUUUUAGCAUGGUAUGCUCAUAUUUGAUUGGGCUUUUUUGAUGGAAAAAGAAAGGAAAAUGAUACAAUAUCCACCUGUUGCAGAAACUAUCGUGAGGCUUUGAUUCACUUUAUCUGGGUGGCAUUGAACCGAGACCCUGAUCCCAAUAGCUAACAAGGUAUGUUUUGUUGAAGCAGAGCUCUAGAAGUGGGUCUUUUUGGUACUGCUGUUUUUGAGUUGUUGAGAAAAAUAUUAAGUUAUUAAAAAUUUAUUUUAAAUUGAAUCUGACAUUUUGUAACUAUAGAAACUUUAAAACUGUUAAACAGCUUUUCGAAAAAUGUUUUCUUAAUAAAAUGUAAAAUUACGUUUUUUAAAAUGUAGAAUUAAAUUAUAAUGCCAAACGGAGACGCUUGCGUGGGAAAUGACUUGUCUUUCUUUUUA
RNAcentral lists this unclassified non-coding RNA (2602 nucleotides) under Hevea brasiliensis (rubber tree). The record is from RNAcentral. Lineage: Eukaryota; Viridiplantae; Streptophyta; Magnoliopsida; Malpighiales; Euphorbiaceae.